CCUACGGGAGGCAGCAGUGGGGAAUAUUGGGCAAUGGGCGCAAGCCUGACCCAGCAACGCCGCGUGAAGGAAGAAGGCUUUCGGGUUGUAAACUUCUUUUCUCAGGGACGAAGAAAGUGACGGUACCUGAGGAAUAAGCCACGGCUAACUACGUGCCAGCAGCCGCGGUAAUACGUAGGUGGCAAGCGUUAUCCGGAUUUAUUGGGUGUAAAGGGCGUGUAGGCGGGAGCGCAAGUCAGAUGUGAAAACUCAGGGCUCAACCCUGAGCCUGCAUUUGAAACUGUGUUUCUUGAGUGCUGGGGAGGCAAUCGGAAUUCGGGGUGUAGCGGUGAAAUGCGUAGAUAUACGGAGGAACACCAGUGGCGAAGGCGGAUUGCUGGACAGUAACUGACGCUGAGGCGCGAAAGCGUGGGGAGCAAACAGGAUUAGAUACCCGGGUAGUC
Molecule: ribosomal RNA, 443 nt
Filed under: uncultured bacterium
Lineage: Bacteria
Description: partial 16S ribosomal RNA
Rfam family: Bacterial small subunit ribosomal RNA
Source: RNAcentral